This 254-nucleotide ribosomal RNA is filed under the name uncultured bacterium. RNAcentral's name for it is "partial 16S ribosomal RNA". It matches the Rfam family "Bacterial small subunit ribosomal RNA", at positions 524 to 776 of the family's 1533-position model. The record is from RNAcentral.
GACGAACCGUGCGAACGUUAUUCGGAAUCACUGGGCUUAAAGCGCGUGUAGGCGGGUGGGGACGUCGGCAUCUGAAAGCCCCCGGCUCAACCGGGGAAGGGGAUCCGAAACGCCCCGCCUGGAGGGACGUAGGGGGACCUGGAACUUCCGGUGGAGCGGUGAAAUGCGUUGAGAUCGGAAGGAACGCCCGUGGCGAAAGCGAGGUCCUGGACGUCUGCUGACGCUGAGACGCGAAAGCUAGGGGAGCGAACGGG